ACCACAUCUUCACACAGCAUCACUCUCUCUGACCUGCAAGGUGGUACUCAGUACUCUGUCACUGUCUGCACUGUGCUGGAAAAUGGAAAGCAAAGUGAACUGGUGUCAACAACCCUCACCACAGUACUGCCUGCUCCAGACCAGAUUAAUGUUGACUCAGUGGACACCACAUCAGCUGCUAUUAGAUGGAGACAGCCACCAGGAUUGGACCAAACCCAACAUCAUUACCAGAUCUCCUACCGCUGUCCAGGGACAGAACCACACAUCACUACCACAUCUUCACACAGUAUUACUCUCUCUGACCUGAAACCUGCUACUAAUUACUCAGUCACUGUCUGCACUGUGCUGGAAAAUGGAAGGCAAAGUCAACUGGUGUUAACAACCCUCAUCACAGUACUUCCUGCUCCAGACCAGCUGACUGUUGACUCAGUGG
Coregonus clupeaformis (lake whitefish) is the source of this 433-nucleotide long non-coding RNA. RefSeq lists it as uncharacterized. Lineage: Eukaryota; Metazoa; Chordata; Actinopteri; Salmoniformes; Salmonidae. The record is from RefSeq and is a predicted model, not a curated record. The transcript is spliced from 3 exons.